RNAcentral lists this ribosomal RNA (257 nucleotides) under uncultured bacterium. RNAcentral describes it as "partial 16S ribosomal RNA". It matches the Rfam family "Bacterial small subunit ribosomal RNA", at positions 524 to 777 of the family's 1533-position model. The record is from RNAcentral.
UACGUAGGGGGGCAAGCGUUGUCCGGAUUUAUUGGGCGUAAAGAGCGUGUAGGCGGCCAGGUAGGUCAGCUGUGAAAACUCGAGGCUCAACCUCGAGACGCCGGUUGAAACCAUCUGGCUAGAGUCCGGAAGAGGAGAGUGGAAUUCCUGGUGUAGCGGUGAAAUGCGCAGAUAUCAGGAAGAACACCCGUGGCUAAGGCGGCUCUCUAGUACGGUACUGACGCUGAGACGCGAAAAGCGUGGGGGAGCGAACAGGG